CUUCGGUGAUGACGCUGGGAACGCGAGCGGCGGAUGGGUGAGUAACACGUGGGUAACCUGCCCUAAAGUCUGGGAUACCACUUGGAAACAGGUGCUAAUACCGGAUAACAACAAUAGCUGCAUGGCUAUUGCUUAAAAGGCGGCGAAAGCUGUCGCUAAAGGAUGGACCCGCGGUGCAUUAGCUAGUUGGUAAGGUAAUGGCUUACCAAGGCGACGAUGCAUAGCCGAGUUGAGAGACUGAUCGGCCACAUUGGGACUGAGACACGGCCCAAACUCCUACGGGAGGCAGCAGUAGGGAAUCUUCCACAAUGGGCGAAAGCCUGAUGGAGCAACGCCGCGUGAGUGAAGAAGGUUUUCGGAUCGUAAAGCUCUGUUGUUGGUGAAGAAGGAUAGAGGUAGUAACUGGCCCCUAUUUGACGGUAAUCAACCAGAAAGUCACGGCUAACUACGUGCCAGCAGCCGCGGUAAUACGUAGGUGGCAAGCGUUGUCCGGAUUUAUUGGGCGUAAAGCGAGCGCAGGCGGAAAGAUAAGUCUGAUGUGAAAGCCCCCGGCUUAACCGAGGAAUUGCAUCGGAAACUGUGUUUCUUGAGUGCAGAAGAGGAGAGUGGAACUCCAUGUGUAGCGGUGGAAUGCGUAGAUAUAUGGAAGAACACCAGUGGCGAAGGCGGCUCUCUGGUCUGUAACUGACGCUGAGGCUCGAAAGCAUGGGUAGCGAACAGGAUUAGAUACCCUGGUAGUCCAUGCCGUAAA
RNAcentral lists this ribosomal RNA (751 nucleotides) under uncultured bacterium. RNAcentral describes it as "bacterial SSU rRNA". It matches the Rfam family "Bacterial small subunit ribosomal RNA", at positions 71 to 806 of the family's 1533-position model. The record is from RNAcentral.